UCAGUCGACUCCUACGGGGGGCAGCAGUGGGGGAAUAUUGCACAAUGGGCGCAAGCCUGAUGCAGCCAUGCCGCGUGUAUGAAGAAGGCCUUCGGGGUUGUAAAGUACUUUCAGCAGUGAGGAAGGUGGGGUAUGGUUAAUAGCAUACUCAUUUGACGUUAGCUGCAGAAGAAGCACCGGCUAACUCCGUGCCAGCAGCCGCGGUAAUACGGAGGGUGCGAGCGUUAAUCGGAAUUACUGGGCGUAAAGCGCAUGCAGGUGGUUUGUUAAGUCAGAUGUGAAAGCCCGGGGCUCAACCUCGGAAUAGCAUUUGAAACUGGCAGACUAGAGUACUGUAGAGGGGGGUAGGAAUUUCAGGUGUAGCGGUGAAAUGCGUAGAGAUCUGAAGGAAUACCGGUGGCGAAGGCGGCCCCCUGGACAGAUACUGACACUCAGAUGCGAAAGCGUGGGGAGCAAACAGGAUUAGAUACCCUGGUAG
RNAcentral lists this ribosomal RNA (478 nucleotides) under uncultured bacterium. RNAcentral's name for it is "bacterial SSU rRNA". It matches the Rfam family "Bacterial small subunit ribosomal RNA", at positions 328 to 793 of the family's 1533-position model. The record is from RNAcentral.